This 601-nucleotide long non-coding RNA is filed under the name Salmo salar (Atlantic salmon). Its description in RNAcentral is "lncRNA (ENSSSAG00000098246.1)". The record is from RNAcentral. Lineage: Eukaryota; Metazoa; Chordata; Actinopteri; Salmoniformes; Salmonidae.
UUGUAACGUUUCGUUGUAAAACGUUUUGCUACGUUUUGCCCUAAUCAAUACAGCCCUGUAAACUGUUAGCGCCACAGUUUCCCGGGAUGGUAUUUUUCUGCCAACUUCCUUGUGCUGCAUUUUUACCUUUGGGUAAUGUUUUAUUAGACAUUGGAUCGUCAAAUCAUCCUCUGAAUGAUCUGACCCCCUUUUUUUUUCAAUUUUCGCCUAAAAUGACAUACCCAAAUCUAACUGUCUGUAGGAAGGAUAGUGCAACAGCUAACCUCAAAGGUUCUUAUGAUCAAAGGGACCAACUGAUAGCUAAAGAAGUAAAGUCAUGCUGCUGCCAUCGUGGGCUCUCCGACCGGGGAGGAAGGAGACCCAUGGGAAUGCUGUCUCUGCCCCUCCAGCUCCCCUCCUGCCACCCGCCCCAGGGUACUCUCUCCUGGGCAUCGUCGUAGCUGGACUGGACCCCUCCUGGGAGCUGCUGGAGGUCAGACCUGCCUCUCUGCCCCCCGGCUCCAUCAUCCCUGGGGUAGGGGUUACCAUGUGGGUUACUGUGAUGGGAUUGGGAUUUCCUGGAAGGACUUUGGAGAGAAGGACAGAGGAGAUAACAUUACUG